Molecule: ribosomal RNA, 2132 nt
Filed under: Candidatus Omnitrophota bacterium
Lineage: Bacteria; Pseudomonadati; Candidatus Omnitrophota
Description: Candidatus Omnitrophica bacterium (sediment metagenome) partial 23S ribosomal RNA
Rfam family: Bacterial large subunit ribosomal RNA
Source: RNAcentral
GGGUAGUGUGUGGUACUAAGCUUGGAACAAGUAGGGCGGGACACGAGAAAUCCUGUUUGAACAUGGGGGGACCAUCCUCCAAGGCUAAAUACUCUUCAUCGACCGAUAGUGAACUAGUACCGUGAGGGAAAGGCGAAAAGAACCCCGGGAGGGGAGUGAAAUAGAUCCUGAAACCGUAUGCUUACAAAAAGUCGGAGCCUUCCGCAAGGGGGGUGACGGCGUACCUUUUGUAUAAUGGGUCAGCGACUUACGUUCAGUUGCAAGCUUAACCGUAUAGGGAAGGCGAAGGGAAACCGAGUCCGAAUAGGGCGAUUUAGUAGCUGGGCGUAGACCCGAAACCAAGUGAUCUAUCCAUGGCCAGGAUGAAGGUGCCGUAACAGGUACUGGAGGUCCGAACCGACUAAUGUUGCAAAAUUAGCGGAUGAGCUGUGGAUAGGGGUGAAAGGCUAAACAAACUUGGAAAUAGCUGGUUCUCUCCGAAAACUAUUUAGGUAGUGCCUCGCGUAUUACCAUUGGGGGUAGAGCACUGUUUAGGCUAGGGGGUCAUGGCGACUUACCAAACCUAUGCAAACUCCGAAUACCAAUGAGUACAGCGCGGGAGACAGAGCACCGGGUGCUAACGUCCGGACUCAAGAGGGAAACAACCCAGACCGCCAGCUAAGGUCCCCAAAAUUGGCUAAGUGGGAAACGAAGUGGGAAGGCUAAAACAGUCAGGAUGUUGGCUUAGAAGCAGCCAUCAUUUAAAGAAAGCGUAAUAGCUCACUGAUCGAGUCGUCCUGCGCGGAAGAUGUAACGGGGCUAAGCCAGUUACCGAAGCUGCGGAUGCAUAGCAAUAUGCGUGGUAGGAGAGCGUUCUGUAAGCCUGCGAAGGUGGAUCGUGAGGUCUGCUGGAGGUAUCAGAAGUGCGAAUGCUGACAUGAGUAGCGUUAAAGGGGGUGAAAAGCCCCCUCGCCGUAAGCGCAAGGUUUCCUACGCAACGUUCAUCGGCGUAGGGUGAGUCGGCCCCUAAGGCGAGGCAGAGAUGCGUAGCUGAUGGGAAACAGGUCAAUAUUCCUGUACCGAUCUAUAGUGCGAUGUGGGGACGGAUCUUUGAAGUUCAUCCUAUUAUUGGAUUUAGGUUUCUAUUCUGUAGGCGUUUGUUAGGUAAAUCCGGCAAACAUAUACCGAGGGGAUGGAAGGGAAAUAGAUUUAUCUAUCCAACUGAAUGAAUGAGGUCCCAGGAAAAGCCACUAAGCUUCAGCUUGUAACGACCGUACCGCAAACCGACACUGGUGCGCGAGAUGAGUAUUCUAAGGCGCUUGAGAGAACUCUGGAGAAGGAACUCGGCAAAUUGACACCGUAACUUCGGAAGAAGGUGUGCCCUAGUAGUGUGAGGUGAACAACCAAGCACGGACGGGUCUCAGAGAAUCGGUGGCUGCGACUGUUUAUUAAAAACACAGCACUCUGCAAAGACGAAAGUCGACGUAUAGGGUGUGACGCCUGCCCGGUGCUGGAAGAUUAAUUGAUGGGGUGCAAGCUCUUGAUCGAAGUCCCAGUAAACGGCGGCCGUAACUAUAACGGUCCUAAGGUAGCGAAAUUCCUUGUCGGGUAAGUUCCGACCUGCACGAAUGGCGUAACGAUGGCCACGCUGUCUCCUCCAGAGACUCAGCGAAGUUGAAAUGUUUGUGAUGAUGCAAUCUCCCCGCGGAAAGACGGAAAGACCCCAUGAACCUUUACUGUAGCUUUGUAUUGGACUUUGAACAGAUCUGUGUAGGAUAGGUGGGAGGCUUUGAAGUAGGGACGCUAGUUUCUAUGGAGCCAACGUUGAAAUACCACCCUGGUGUGUUUGAGGUUCUAACCUUGUCCCGUUAUCCGGGAUGGGGACAGUGUAUGGUGGGCAGUUUGACUGGGGCGGUCUCCUCCCAAAGUGUAACGGAGGAGUUCGAAGGUACGCUAAAUACGGUCGGAAAUCGUGUUGAUAGUGCAUUGGCAUAAGCGUGCUUGACUGCGAGACUGACAAGUCGAGCAGGUACGAAAGUAGGACAAAGUGAUCCGGUGGUUCUGUAUGGAAGGGCCAUCGCUCAUCCGCUAGUUUUGCAACACUAGUCGGUUCGGACCUCCAGUGCGUGUUACCGCACCUUCAUCCUGGCCAU